CCCGCACCCCCGGGCCCCCAGCGAGGCCGAGCCCAGCCCCAGGGCCCUGAGCUCCCGGCCUUGCGGAGCUGUGCUGGCCCCGGCUCCCGCGCCCACCCGAGGGCCAGGAACUGCCCAGACACUGACCCUUAGUUCCACAUGCCAACUGGAAGCCUGAUGGCCUUCUGCCCAGCAGGAUGUACGGCAAGGAAGAGGGGGGCCUCAUCCAAUCAGCUGAAGACCUGAGUAGAACGAAAGACUGACCUGGAGUAAGAAGGAAUUAGCCAGCAGCCAGCCUCUGGACUUGAACUACAACCCUGGCUCUUCCCUUGUGUCUAGUGUGACACCCACCCUGAAGAUUUCGGACUUGCCAGCCUCCAUAAUUACAUGAAACAAUUCCUUGAAAUAAAUACUUAUAGAUCGGUAGAGAGGUGAAUAGAUGCAAUCUGUGUCUCUGGAGAACCCUAAUACAUUUACAUAAAAUUGAUCUUACUGAUCUUCUCAAUGGUGAAUAUAGAAUGUGAACAGAGCUGCAAUGGAAGCAGACCAUCAGGGAGCUGCCUCGAGCUGAAAAAUCACUAGAAAUAGUAAUGAUUGAACUGGGGCAGCUGGUACAAGAACCUUGGAGCUUCAGCUGGACAAUGCCAUCUUCAAAGCCUUUAUAGAUAACAUCUCCGCCAUCUUCCUGCACAGUUGGCCUGUGGUCACAGAAUAUUUGUGAUGUAUGUAAGAGACCUGAAGUUUCCGUCAAAAACAUUUAAAACAACUUAGGGCUUAGAUUUUAUAUUGGUAAAUUCAUAAAGUUAGAGCUACUUAUACAACAGAAAAUGAGUAUUAUAGCUAAUCUCAUUUGUAAUUUUUUUAAAAUUUCAGAUAAAAUGCCAAAACUCACUCAUACAAGUGUUUGCUUUACUUAUUAUAUUUUAAUCCUGCUUAUUUGCAAUCUUUUUAGGCAUUUAAGAUCUUAGAUGUCCUAGUAAUUACAGUAAUUACCUAAGAUAAUACUCAUUUCUUGUGAAUGAACAGAGGCAGACUGACAGAACACAUGCUGUUUUUUUUUUUCAGGUAAACUUUGCAUGGAAAUAUAACAAUUAAUAUGAAAAAUGCAUAAAUCACUUAUGGUCAAUUAAAUGAAUCUUUACAAAAUGAGCACACAUUUGUCCCAGGCCAACACACAAUGCUAGCACCCCAGAAUUCCCUUCUGUGCUUCCUCACAACAAAAAGUAAUCUUCUCCUAACUGGUUAUUACCACUGAUUAAUUCUGCCUGCUUUUUAACUUUAUAAAUAUAAAUUCCAUUUAAAAAACAUAUAGCACGGGGACCCCUGGGUGGCUCAGCGGUUUGGUGCCUGCCUUUGGCCUGGGGUGUGGUCCUGGGGCCCCGGGAUCAAGUCC
Molecule: long non-coding RNA, 1372 nt
Organism: Canis lupus familiaris (dog)
Lineage: Eukaryota; Metazoa; Chordata; Mammalia; Carnivora; Canidae
Exons: 5
Source: RefSeq, a predicted model, not a curated record